RNAcentral lists this small RNA (478 nucleotides) under Polymyxa graminis. Its description in RNAcentral is "eukaryotic LSU rRNA". The stretch from base 141 to 294 matches the Rfam family "5.8S ribosomal RNA". Lineage: Eukaryota; Endomyxa; Phytomyxea; Plasmodiophorida; Plasmodiophoridae. The record is from RNAcentral.
CUGCGGAAGGAUCAUUAGCGUUUGUUGGUCUUGGUGCCAUUGCGAAAAAAUGUGGAUCGUGGGCUAGAGAAGAUGACCCUGGGGGGUUUUUUGUUGCGAAAUGUCUUGGUGGCUGAUGGAAUAUUGAGAAAUACAAAUACAACUCUUAGCAAUGGAUAUCUUGGUUCCCGUAACGAUGAAGAACGCAGCGAAAUGCGAUACGUAAUGCGAAUUGCAGAAUUCAGUGAAUCAUCGAAUCUUUGAACGCAAGUUGCGCUUUCGAGAGCCCUCGGAAGCAUGCCUCUCUGAGUAUCGGUUUCCAUAUCUCACACCUGGUGUGGAGAAUGAGAGUCGCCGGUGCGUCUCUUGAAAUCAUAGUCGGGCACAAGUCCAUCGGAUUCUUGGAACGAUAAUCCGCCAUGGCACACCGGAACCAUACACAAGAUCUCAGAUGAGGUAAGACUACCCGCCGAAUUUAAGCAUAUCAAUAAGCGGAGGA